This 466-nucleotide ribosomal RNA is filed under the name Vreelandella stevensii. RNAcentral's name for it is "partial 16S ribosomal RNA". It matches the Rfam family "Bacterial small subunit ribosomal RNA", at positions 338 to 795 of the family's 1533-position model. Lineage: Bacteria; Pseudomonadati; Pseudomonadota; Gammaproteobacteria; Oceanospirillales; Halomonadaceae. The record is from RNAcentral.
CCUACGGGUGGCUGCAGUGGGGAAUAUUGGACAAUGGGCGAAAGCCUGAUCCAGCCAUGCCGCGUGUGUGAAGAAGGCCUUCGGGUUGUAAAGCACUUUCAGUGGGGAAGAAAGCCUUGGGGCUAAUACCCUCGAGGAAGGACAUCACCCACAGAAGAAGCACCGGCUAACUCCGUGCCAGCAGCCGCGGUAAUACGGAGGGUGCGAGCGUUAAUCGGAAUUACUGGGCGUAAAGCGCGCGUAGGCGGUCUGAUAAGCCGGUUGUGAAAGCCCCGGGCUCAACCUGGGAACGGCAUCCGGAACUGUCAGGCUAGAGUGCAGGAGAGGAAGGUAGAAUUCCCGGGGUAGCGGUGAAAUGCGUAGAGAUCGGGAGGAAUACCAGUGGCGAAGGCGGCCUUCUGGACUGACACUGACGCUGAGGUGCGAAAGCGUGGGUAGCAAACAGGAUUAGAUACCCCUGGUAGUC